Molecule: ribosomal RNA, 253 nt
Filed under: uncultured bacterium
Lineage: Bacteria
Description: partial 16S ribosomal RNA
Rfam family: Bacterial small subunit ribosomal RNA
Source: RNAcentral
UACGUAGGGUGCAAGCGUUGUCCGGAAUUAUUGGGCGUAAAGGGCGCGUAGGCGAUUUGGCAAGUCUUGUGUGAAAGCCCACAGCCUAACUGUGGAAGUGCACAAGAUACUGCUGAAUUUGAGUUCAGGAGAGGAAGGCAGAACUCCCGGUGUAGCGGUGAAAUGCGUAGAGAUCGGAAGGAACGCCGGUGGCGAAAGCGACACACUGGACCUUUUCUGACGCUGAGGCGCGAAAGCCAGGGGAGCAAACGGG